This is a non-coding RNA of Phrynosoma platyrhinos (Desert horned lizard), 71 nucleotides long. NCBI's taxonomy places the organism in Eukaryota, Metazoa, Chordata, Lepidosauria, Squamata, Phrynosomatidae. The record is from the annotation of a GenBank genome assembly.
GCCAGCAUGGCGUAGUGGUUUGAGCACUGGACAGUGACUCUGGAGACGUGGGUUUGAUUCCCAGCUUGGCC